Molecule: ribosomal RNA, 232 nt
Filed under: uncultured bacterium
Lineage: Bacteria
Description: partial 16S ribosomal RNA
Rfam family: Bacterial small subunit ribosomal RNA
Source: RNAcentral
GCACAAGCAGUGGAGUAUGUGGUUUAAUUCGAAGCAACGCGAAGAACCUUACCAGGUCUUGACAUCAAGUGACGAACUUAGAGAUAAGUUCUUCCUUCGGGACACGAAGACAGGUGGUGCAUGGUUGUCGUCAGCUCGUGUCGUGAGAUGUUGGGUUAAGUCCCGCAACGAGCGCAACCCUUAUCAUUAGUUGCUACGCAAGAGCACUCUAAUGAGACUGCCGUUGAUAAAA